UGGGGAAUAUUGCACAAUGGGCGAAAGCCUGAUGCAGCAACGCCGCGUGCGGGAUGACGGCCUUCGGGUUGUAAACCGCUUUCAGCUCCGACGAAGCGCAAGUGACGGUAGGAGCAGACGAAGGACCGGCCAACUACGUGCCAGCAGCCGCGGUGAUACGUAGGGUCCGAGCGUUGUCCGGAAUUAUUGGGCGUAAAGGGCUUGUAGGCGGUCUGUCGCGUCGGAAGUGAAAACUCAGGGCUUAACCCUGAGCCUGCUUCCGAUACGGGCAGACUAGAGGGAUGCAGGGGAGAACGGAAUUCCUGGUGGAGCGGUGGAAUGCGCAGAUAUCAGGAGGAACACCGGUGGCGAAGGCGGUUCUCUGGGCAUUUCCUGACGCUGAGAAGCGAAAGCGUGGGGAGCAAACAGGCUUAGAUACCCUGGUAGUCCACGCCGUAAACGGUGGGCACUAGGUGUGGGGAACAUUCCACGUUCUCCGUGCCGAAGCUAACGCAUUAAGUGCCCCGCCUGGGGAGUACGGCCGCAAGACUA
This 531-nucleotide ribosomal RNA is filed under the name uncultured bacterium. Its description in RNAcentral is "bacterial SSU rRNA". It matches the Rfam family "Bacterial small subunit ribosomal RNA", at positions 355 to 896 of the family's 1533-position model. The record is from RNAcentral.